UAAUAAGUGUUUUAUGGCACUUUUUAAAUCCAUAUCCACCUUGUGUGCAAUGUCAGUCGAUCUUCUUCAUGGAGAUCGACCAAACAUCAACCUUUAUCUUUUAACUCUUUGUUCUGAAAAAUAUUAUGAAUAAACAAUUCAAAAUA
This 146-nucleotide unclassified non-coding RNA is filed under the name soil metagenome. Its description in RNAcentral is "partial internal transcribed spacer 1". The record is from RNAcentral.